Molecule: long non-coding RNA, 582 nt
Organism: Betta splendens (Siamese fighting fish)
Lineage: Eukaryota; Metazoa; Chordata; Actinopteri; Anabantiformes; Osphronemidae
Exons: 3
Source: RefSeq, a predicted model, not a curated record
CACGAGGUCUGCCAACACCUGCAGAGGUAACCUGAGGCUGAAGACAACCUUUAACACAAGGCAAGGCGUAGGUGUUCCUCAGCCGUGCCAUAAUGUCGUUCUCCGGCUUCCAUAUGAAAAACGGGUGAAGCUGAAAGAAGGGAACCUGGCCAGAGACCCAGUGAUUCCAGCUCCAUCUUCAUCCAGGCCCUCUGAAAGCGUGAACAGUUCCACUGCUGUGUGUCGUGGUCAUAGCCAGGAAGCUGAGGAGGAGGACAGCCAGAGGCAGAUGGCAAUGGUUGGCCUGGUAAAGGGAAAAACAGUGUGUGGUGGCUGCAGCGGGCGCUGACUCGUCACUGUAGAUGUCCCCAGGGAAGAACGUUGCGCUGCAAACAUGGAAUUUUUAUUAAUUACAACAAAACAGAGAAGCAUGUCUGACAUCUGGACCCUGGGUUGUACUUGUUAAGACAGAAUCCUGCCGUAUCCAAAUGUUUGGAUCCUGCCAUGUGUCCUGCAUGUACCAUAUUGUAAAUUAAACCAUUAAAAAAAUGUUUUGAAAUGCAAAAGCUCACCUGGUCCUCUGGCAGUCGGUUCUGUUGGCAG